RNAcentral lists this long non-coding RNA (229 nucleotides) under Vigna radiata. Its description in RNAcentral is "long non-coding RNA (VRAD_LNC010927)". Lineage: Eukaryota; Viridiplantae; Streptophyta; Magnoliopsida; Fabales; Fabaceae. The record is from RNAcentral.
UAUAUUUGAGGGUUUGUUUCAAUUGGGUCCUCCAAUUUUGAAAGUGAUCAAUUAGGUCCUUAAUUUUGUCAAUUUGAAUCAAUAAAAGUCUUUCCGUUAAAUGCAGUUAACGCCAUGAAAUUUUUGAACAUGUGCCUAGGUGGCACCAUUUCAAGUGCAUAGGUGGAUUAUAAAAGGGUGAAAUCCCUUUUAAUUUAGGGAUUUCACCUUCAAAUACACCCUUUUAAUU